Molecule: ribosomal RNA, 316 nt
Filed under: uncultured bacterium
Lineage: Bacteria
Description: bacterial SSU rRNA
Rfam family: Bacterial small subunit ribosomal RNA
Source: RNAcentral
AAUAAACGCUGGCGGCGUGCCUAACACAUGCAAGUCGCGCGAGAAAGUUCCUUCGGGAGCGAGUAAAGCGGCGAACGGGUGAGGAACACGUGAGAAUCUACCAUUCAGUGGAGAAUACCCUCGAGAAAUCGAGGCUAAUACUGCAUACGUCCUACGGGAGAAAGAUGGCCUCUUUGCUAUCGCUGAAUGAGGAGCUUGCGUACUAUUAGCUAGUUGGUGGGGUAAAGGCUUACCAAGGCAAUGAUGGUUAACCGGCCUGAGAGGGUGUACGGUCACACUGGAACUGAGACACGGUCCAGACUCCUACGGGUGGCUG